UUGAGUGUUACAACUCCUAAACCCAUUGUGGAUUUUACCAUUUGUUGCUUCGGCAGGAGAGAUUGUCGCUAUAAGGCGUAGUCUCCCUUGCCGAGGGCCUAAAUUCUUUAUUUAGUAGAUUUCUUUCUGAGUAGCACAAUGCAAAUAAAUUA
RNAcentral lists this unclassified non-coding RNA (152 nucleotides) under uncultured fungus. RNAcentral's name for it is "sequence contains ITS1, 5.8S rRNA gene". Lineage: Eukaryota; Fungi. The record is from RNAcentral.